Molecule: ribosomal RNA, 305 nt
Filed under: uncultured bacterium
Lineage: Bacteria
Description: bacterial SSU rRNA
Rfam family: Bacterial small subunit ribosomal RNA
Source: RNAcentral
GGCCUACGGGACGCAGCAGUGAGGAAUAUUGGUCAAUGGGCGGGAGCCUGAACCAGCCAAGCCGCGUGAAGGAAGAAGGCGCCAGGCGUCGUAAACUUCUUUUGUCGGGAACAAAGGGCGCCACGCGUGGCGUUGUGAGUGUACCCGAAGAAAAAGCAUCGGCUAACUCCGUGCCAGCAGCCGCGGUAAUACGGAGGAUGCGAGCGUUAUCCGGAUUUAUUGGGUUUAAAGGGAGCGUAGGCCGGCUUUUAAGUCGGCUGUGAAAGUCCGCGGCUCAACCGUGGAAUUGCAGUUGAAACUGGGGG